AUACGUCCAUAUCACACUGAAAUACCGAUUCUCGUACGAUCACUGAAGUUAAGCAACGUCGAGCCUGGUCAGUAACUAGAUAGGCGACUCCUUGAGAAUACCAGGUGCUGUAA
Acanthosepion pharaonis is the source of this 113-nucleotide non-coding RNA. The record is from the annotation of a GenBank genome assembly. NCBI's taxonomy places the organism in Eukaryota, Metazoa, Mollusca, Cephalopoda, Sepiida, Sepiidae.